This is a long non-coding RNA of Lytechinus variegatus (green sea urchin), 1371 nucleotides long. RefSeq lists it as uncharacterized. The record is from RefSeq and is a predicted model, not a curated record. The transcript is spliced from 2 exons. NCBI's taxonomy places the organism in Eukaryota, Metazoa, Echinodermata, Echinoidea, Temnopleuroida, Toxopneustidae.
AUUACUAAAAUAAAAUUUUCCUUUACUGCAAACCUUGUGGUUGGAGUAUAAAGUCCAAUUCAGCUUCAAAGCACAGCCAAUGGCAAGAUUGCUGAGUCACUCCAAUGUGGGAGUGAAAUGCCCUCUAUUCCUACAAGGCAGGCUUGCAUCUUGUUUAAUUUCAAUUUUGAUAUGUAUGCCAUUCUUGGGAACUUUGUUAAGAUCUUAAAAUUUGAUAUGAUCAUGAUGUCUUACAAUUGUUUCCCCAAGGAUUUUCCGUGCAAAAAACAAAUGUGGCAUUUGAUAUAAGAUGCACACUGUCAAAAUAACAAACACAAAAAUCAAAGAAAUGAAAACAAUAAUUUACUAUUCUUGCUUUUCUUUUAAUCACACCAUGAUUUGUAUAAUAUUAUAUGAAAUAUAUUCCAAAUAACAUCUCUAUAUUAAAGGAUUAGGCCCAAUUCUGUGAUAAGGCAACCACACUAAAACAGACAGGGAACAGAGAAAGCAUAUCACAAUUCUAUACAGACAUGAAUCUGAAAUAUGAAUAUUUUACAACUUGUUUUUAAACAGCUGACAGAGGCUGAAAUAAAUACUAUGAUACACCUAUAUACAGAGUGGCACAAACACAGAUAUUUUACAUCAGUUAUAUGUAGUGAGAAUAAAUAGACUAGUGCGAAUCCAGUUUCACAAGAUCCACAAAAUUUCCUUGUUUUCACAGGAAUCUUUACAUUUGAAUAUUGAGAAGAUAGGUAUGCAUUUAAUGUAGAAUUAGCCCCCAUUGUAUCAGAGGUGGUUCAAUAAAAUUGAUUCACAAUAUUUGAAAUCGAUCUCAUAAACAUAAAAACAUAAAGGUUUAGAAUCAAUCACUAAAUGGAUACUGAAUAAUCAAGAUCUUUGUUGUACAAGAAUGUGCACAUGGUGAAACGUGUGCUUUUGAUCCAUCUGAAUAGGUUGAAAUUUACUAUUGGUUGCAAAUUUUCGUGUUAGAGAGGCCAAGGUGAUGUUUUACAAAGAGAUAUCUAUUUUCAUUUGCAAGUGCCUUUGCUCACGUUAUUUAACACAUAAUCUCACUUAGGCAGGAGCACAUGUCCCUUGGCUAGGGUAUGAUGCGACUAAUUCAGUGAUGUAUUAUACAGCAUACAAUUGUUGGUACAAUUUAGAAUCAGACUUCAGUUUUUGUGAAAAAAAAACCCUGGGGGGUGUUCCACAAAGAUUUAAGUACGACUUACAGUCGCGUCUAAAUGCUGACGCGUACAUUUUUAUGCAACGCGCAAUCUUAUCCAUCGAUGCGCUGUAGUGCACGUCCUGUACAUGUAGAUCAACCCCCAAAUUAUGAUUAAUCUCUCUAUACCAAGAUUUCACAGUACAACACUAUAUAGGAUAGUCUAU